This 584-nucleotide ribosomal RNA is filed under the name uncultured bacterium. RNAcentral's name for it is "bacterial SSU rRNA". It matches the Rfam family "Bacterial small subunit ribosomal RNA", at positions 338 to 916 of the family's 1533-position model. The record is from RNAcentral.
CCUACGGGAGGCAGCAGUGGGGAAUUUUGGACAAUGGGCGCAAGCCUGAUCCAGCAAUGCCGCGUGAGUGAAGAAGGCCUUCGGGUUGUAAAGCUCUUUUGUCAGGGAAGAAACGGUGGGGGCUAAUAUCUCCUGCUAAUGACGGUACCUGAAGAAUAAGCACCGGCUAACUACGUGCCAGCAGCCGCGGUAAUACGUAGGGUGCAAGCGUUAAUCGGAAUUACUGGGCGUAAAGCGUGCGCAGGCGGUUUUGUAAGUUUGUCGUGAAAUCCCCGGGCUCAACCUGGGAAUGGCGAUGAAGACUGCAAGGCUAGAAUCUGGCAGAGGGGGGUAGAAUUCCACGUGUAGCAGUGAAAUGCGUAGAGAUGUGGAGGAACACCGAUGGCGAAGGCAGCCCCCUGGGUCAAGAUUGACGCUCAUGCACGAAAGCGUGGGGAGCAAACAGGAUUAGAUACCCUGGUAGUCCACGCCCUAAACGAUGUCUACUAGUUGUCGGGUUUUAAUUAACUUGGUAACGCAGCUAACGCGUGAAGUAGACCGCCUGGGGAUACGGUCGCAAGAUUAAAACGUCAAAGGAUUGACGG